RNAcentral lists this ribosomal RNA (640 nucleotides) under uncultured Lachnospiraceae bacterium. RNAcentral's name for it is "bacterial SSU rRNA". It matches the Rfam family "Bacterial small subunit ribosomal RNA", at positions 60 to 713 of the family's 1533-position model. Lineage: Bacteria; Bacillati; Bacillota; Clostridia; Lachnospirales; Lachnospiraceae. The record is from RNAcentral.
AGUCGAACGGAGCUUAGAGAGCUUGCUUUUUAAGCUUAGUGGCGAACGGGUGAGUAACGCGUGAGUAACCUGCCCUAGAGUGGGGGACAACAGUUGGAAACGACUGCUAAUACCGCAUAAGCCCACGGUACCGCAUGGUACUGAGGGAAAAGGAUUUAUUCGCUUUAGGAUGGACUCGCGUCCAAUUAGCUAGUUGGUGAGGUAACGGCCCACCAAGGCGACGAUUGGUAGCCGGACUGAGAGGUUGAACGGCCACAUUGGGACUGAGACACGGCCCAGACUCCUACGGGAGGCAGCAGUGGGGGAUAUUGCACAAUGGGGGAAACCCUGAUGCAGCGACGCCGCGUGGAGGAAGAAGGUUUUCGGAUUGUAAACUCCUGUCGUUAGGGACGAUAAUGACGGUACCUAACAAGAAAGCACCGGCUAACUACGUGCCAGCAGCCGCGGUAGAACGUAGGGUGCAAGCGUUGUCCGGAAUUACUGGGUGUAAAGGGAGCGCAGGCGGGAAGACAAGUUGGAAGUGAAAACCAUGGGCUCAACCCAUGAAUUGCUUUCAAAACUGUUUUUCUUGAGUAGUGCAGAGGUAGAUGGAAUUCCCGGUGUAGCGGUGGAAUGCGUAGAUAUCGGGAGGAACACCAGU